UUACUCUUGACUGUUUUUGUGAAAUCGAAGUUAUGUCUGUGAUUGAAGAAUUAAAAGGGUGUCUAUAGGAUUGAGUAUGCAGAGUGAAUGAAAUUUAUUGGAUUAAUCUAACAAGACAAUCAGUGGAUGAAAGGUCGUGAGUAUAAAGCGGUAUCGGAGAUUAGCAGAUCGGAUUGUUCGGGGUUCUCUGUAAUGUCUAGAGACCUACCGGCUGGGACAAAAAAGAUUUCGGCGAGCAGUCGAAGGACAUCCGUAUAGAUUUAUGGUAUAUUCUUGCAAUCAUUUGAAUUCCAACAAUCAAAAACCGAUAGACUGUUUGAAUAUUAGUGAAUCUCCAUACUACCUUCUACAGCUAGAUGCCUGACACGUUCUCGAGUAAGAAAGCACAUAAUACAACAUAAGUGGUGAAUCCAAUGUGAAAGCUUGAGAUAGAAGGUAUUGGAUUUCAUUUGAUUUUAUUUUUAUUUUUAUUUUAUGAAAAACAAAAACAAAAAUUUUGAAGGAUUUUUGGGAGGAUUUUCUGGUGGGGAUUCUUCUAAAGGACAAGGAAUACACAUGGAUCCAUCUAUUGCUAGUAUGUUUCAAGCCUUCUCAUUAUCAAUGCAGCAACAACAAAGCAAUGAUCGAAAGGAAGCUUUGGCAACCAAAGCAUUGCAAGCAGUGGUCAAUAAAAUUGAUCAAUUUGAUGGAAGGAAUAUUUCAAGGUAUUUAAGAUGUUAUGUUCGUGAAAUGGAAUUAAAUCGGAUUUCUGAGAAGAAAAUGGUUGAAUUAUUUGGACUUGCCACAAUACCAAAGAUAAGAGACCAUAUUACAUCGAUUACGGAUCGUUAUGGGAAUUCAUGAGAGGUUUUUUCACAUGCAUUGAAAGACGAAUAUUUCUUGGAAGAUGUUGAUCGCAUUACUAAGAAGUUGUUUCUGGAAUGGAUUGAACGGCCUAAUAAGAAUUUGCAAGCAACAGAGCUACAAAGGGAAUUUGAAAGGCAGUACUCUCAAUUAUCGAAGGUAGAAAAAUUGACAUUGGAGCCGAACAAAGUUGAUCUAUUUCUUCAAGCUGCUGAUGGAGAAUUGCAAGGGAAAUUAGAACUCCUUCUUAAAGACAAAGAAGAAGAUGAAGGAUUGACAACAAAGUGGAAGAACGUUGAAGAUACGGUGGGGUUGCUUACAAAAAGAGAAAGGAAGAAGGAUAGGAGCAAUAUUCCGAAAUCAGUACAAGCACCCAAAGCUCUAGUACGUACAACACCACCAACAAUGCCUACAGUUCAACCUUCAACAUCCUUAUCACAGAAAACAGAUAUGGAGAUGGAAAAAAUUAUACGAGGAUUGCGAGAUCUUCAAAUCAAAUUGGCAAGACUUGAAGAGAAUACUUCUAUAAAUAAUUCGAAGAAUGUUUCAAAACAAGGAUAUGUACAAAGAUGCAUUUGAUGUGAUGAUGCUUCACACACUACAAAAGAUUGCAAUGAAUUUAAUAAUAUGAUACGACAAAGAAUUAUUUGCUGGAAAGAUGGAAAGAUAGCAUUAAAAGAUAGAGAGGAUCUUCUUCAAACCAAUUUUGGCAAGGGAGGAAUGAGAGUAUUGGUUGAAGAUUAUUUAAAAGAGCAUAAAACAGCACCACAAGAAAGUGCAAGUUAUGGUGCUAGAGUAGAUGAUGAAAUUGGUGGAAGUACAAAAACUAGUGAGUUUUGGGCUUCUGCCAUUUCUACAAUGCAAGAAGGGAAAUUACCUCGAGAAGCAUUAUUGAGGACUGCAACUACAAUAUGAGGUGCAAUAAGUUGGGAGGAUCCUGUUGAGUCUCUUUCAGUUCAUACAUAUAUUGCUAAGAGCCAACAUGAAGCUUUGAUGGAAGAAAAGAGACAAAGAAAUUUUGAUGAUACUAGAGAAGAAAAUUCUUCUAAGAGGCAAACUCGAGGAGACAAGGCUCGAGAGGCAACUUCACAAGAAUUGCUUGUAAAGGAUACCUCAGCAUCAUUGGAAGAAAAAACAAAGGAGACAAAAGAUAAGGGCAAAUCAAUUGCUUAUAAGCUACUUUCUGACAUUGAAGCAAAAAAAAAUUUGAAAGGGGUGUUGGAAGAACGUAUAUUAAACGCUAAGGUGGAAUUCACAUUGAAAGAAGUCUUGGAAAUUGCAAAGAAGGAGUUUCAUGAUGUCAUCAUUGACAGCAUUAAGCGAAAGAGGCAAUUAAUGGACGAAACUGGAAUGAGUCAUGCUAUUGAUGCAAGAAUAUAUAAAGAUGAAGAAGAGGUUGAUAUUGGUUACAAACAACCAACAAAUGAAAAGAAUGGGUAUAAUCAACGAGUACAUUUCGAAGAUUAUAGUGAUAAGGAAAUGGAAACCUUGAGCCAUUAUACUCGAAAGCAUUGAGCAAGGGCAACUACUGAGGUAUUGGUGAAAGUAGGAGAUAUAGAAGAACCAGUUGUUGCUUUAGUCGACCAUGGUUCUGAAAUAAAUCUCAUGUCUAAAGAUCUUUAUAAGAAGCAGAAAUGGCCAAUUGAUAUGGAACAUGGAUGGACAAUACGAGCAGCUAAUAACACACGGGGCGAAUUAUAUGGAGCUUGUCUAAAUGUCAAAAUUCGGAUUGGGGAUGUUGUGACGGAGUAACAUUUCUUUGUUCAAGAUACAACGUCUUAUCCGUUGAUUUUAGGACAACCUUAUAUUACGGUGUCGGGGUAGAGAGAGUUUGCCUCAAGAAAGCGCUGGGCUUCUGGCUGUCACUAAAUACUCAAUCAAGUUUGAAAUAUAAGGGUAACAAUUUUAUAUAUAUAAACUCUUCUCCUUUGGAGCAAUUACAUCAAUAUACAAGCCUUAAAAUCCAAAGAACACCAAAAUACUUGAUAAGGUGUUAUAAAAACUUAUAUAUCCUUAUGAGGAAUUUUUCCCGAAGUUCAACAGCUCAUAACUUACGAUCUAACCGUCUAAACAACUCCAAAUUUUACAUGGAGUACUGAUAUAUCUUUAGCAACUACCAAACCAAAAUUCAACUGUAAAUUCGUCUUGGAUCUUGUGAUAUCUUGAAAACCCUAACUAUAGCUUCAAACCCUAGCUUUUUUACACCUGUGUACAACUUCCUUCAUAUCUCACAAAGUAAUUAUUCAAAUACUAUGAAACUUUGAUCUAAAGCUUCUUAACCCAAUUACACACACUUGUAGAAAUUUUGAGCCAAAAAUUCGUCCAGAAACUCAAGAUAUGGCUUCACCCAUAACUAGCAACAAAACGAUAUACUUACUGCCUUCAAAUUACAAGUGCUGUCUUCAACGCCUCAUAACUCCUUCACCCAAUCUUAGAAUUCACUAUACAUUACGUAGAAUGUGUAGCCGAGAAAAUGCUCCCUCCAAAUCCAGUCGCCGAUCUUCCGUUGCUCUCCGUAUUCGUAUGUGAUGCCCAAAAGAAGUGACAGUAGGUACGAAAUUGACACCUUAUCUUUGAACAUUCAUAUCUUUUCCAUAAAAACUCGAAAUCACACAAAAUCUUCACCCAAAUUAUACCCAAAACUCUAAACCUUCUGACCCUAGCCUCAAAAGCUCGAAUGGCCUCGAAAGAGGAACCCUAAUUCCUAAUAUGGCCUCGGGCAGCCUCCUCAAAGCCCAUUGGGCAUGGUAUUCGACCAAUAGGGAUGAAGUUCUUCACCCCUUGCCUUCAUCCAACCAUGCCUUACUUUCAUCCUUCCCAAUAAGCCUCCUUCUAGUUAUAUUUUCAUCUUUUAACUCCUCCCUUCCCUUAAUCUUUAUACUAACUAUCUAAAUCCUAUAUAAUAUAAACUCUAUAAUCAAACUAGAUUAACUUCCAAAUAAUUUUUCUUAUUUCAAUUCAUUUUAAAUUAACAUACUAACUAUUCUAACUCACAUUAAGACUUAUAAACAUAUUACAUGUUUUCACUAAUUUUUACAUACUAUAAGUAAUUACAGUACGACAACGGCAAUACGGAUGGAAAUAAAAGUACUUGACGAUGGUUUUGUUUAUACAAGGGUACGUAGCAAAGAUGGGAGAAAAGGUGUAUAAUUUCUAACAGUACCUCCUAACCAUGAAUGGAAUUGAGAUAGGUUGAGGGAGAAACCAUUGCCAAAGAUUGUUGAAAGAUUUAAGGAUUUUGAGGAGGUACCACUAUAAAGCGAGAUUAUGGAGGUACAAAAGAGGAGGUACUCUCGAGAGAUGAAGGUGCCUUUGAUGCGAGUUUCAUUGGUAUAUUAGAGAAUGGAAAUAUUAUGUAUAAGAAAGUUGAUGAUUUUAAAAGAAAAGAAAGAAAAAGAUUAUAAGAUAUUGAAGGAGAAUUAUGUAAGUUAGGUACAUUGCAAGAUGAUGAGAGGAUUUUAGGUGUUUAUGUACCUUAGAAUCUAAGACUGAUUCUAGUACCGAGGGCACAUUUACCUAAAUUAGUGGAACUAUUAAAAGAAAAGAUAAAGAUGAAAAUAUUGGAACCCUCAUUUGCACCGUAUUCUAGUCGAUGGUUUACGGUACCUAAGAAGAAUGGGUCACUACGGUUUAUUCAAGAUAUGCAACCGAUGAAUGCAGUAACUGUCAGGAAUGCAGGAAUUGAACCUAUUGUGGAUGAAUUUACUGAGGCGUUUGCUGGAAGGGCGAUCUAUUCAAUGGGUGACUUGUAUUCAGGUUAUGAUCAAUUUCAACUUGCCGAAGGAAGUAGAGAUAUGAUAACAAUGAGGACACCACUUGGAUUGGUUAGAAUGUGCACUCUUCCUCAAGGUGCGACCAACUCAGUUGCGCAUAUGAUGAAUGGGAUGAAUAAGGUAUUGAGAGAUUUUAUUCCGGAAAAGACUAUGCCUUUUCUGGAUGAUGUUCUUAUAAAACGGUACAGAGAAGGAGACAAGGAUGAAACUUUAAAUAAGAAGGGGUGUCGCAAAUAUGUUGUUGAUCAUAUACAAGAUUGUGAAAAGAUGUUAACUCAGCUUGGAGAAGUUCAUCUUACAUUAUCGCAUAUGAAGUCCGUAUUUGGAGUACGAGAGGUUGUGAUUGUUGGAUAUUUAUGUGGAUCUUAUGGAAGAAAACCAGAUCCGACUAAAGUUGAUGCAAUUGGAAGGAUGAAAGAGGAUUGUGAGUCUUUAACAGAGGUUCGCAGGUUUUUAGGUGCAUGUGUAUUUUAUCGAAUCUGGAUCCCUCAUUAUACUCACAUAGCGGAUCCAUUAUAUGAACUGUUACGCAAGGAUUACCGAUUUAAAUGGGAAGAAAGGCAUAUUCAGGCAAUGCAAAGAUUGAAGAAAUUAUUGAUGUCACUUCCAAUAUUGAGGAAGGUUGAUUAUAAGUGCAAUAGACCAAUGAUUCUUACUGUGGACGCUAGUCCAAUUGCCAUUGGAUGGGCUAUGGGUCAAGAUGAUUUCAGUGGGAAUAGAUUUGCAGUUCGAUUUGGAGCUAAAGUUUUAAGUAUUCGUCAGCGUGCAUAUUCGCAAGUCAAAAGAGAACUUUGGGGAGUUGUUUCGACUAUGAAAGCUGAAGAGGACUAUUUGAUUAGGGCAGUAGUAGUAAUUGAAACAGAUUGCUUGCCAUUGCUUGGAAUGAUUAUUAACUGUUCAACGCCAGAUAUUGCAAUGUUGAGAUGGAUUGCUUAUAUUAAGUCACUAAAUCUGGAAUUUAAGCAUGUUACUGGGAAAGAAAAUUUAGUAGCAGACAUGCUAUCUUGAGUAAGAUACGAGAGGAAGGACGAAAUGGUUGAAGACAUUGAUGACGUCGGAUUGAAAUUCUAUUCAAUAUCAAAUCUCAACAGGGAAGACAAGCUAUUUCUUAAAGAAUCUUAUGAAGGAGAACUAUUGGAUAUUGGUCAUUACUUGAAUACCUUGGUCCAUAGAAAAAUUCAAACAAAUAAGAAAAAAAGCAUAUGGAUUUUUACUUCGAGAUGGAUUCUUAUGGAAGAGACCAAAGAAAGGAAUUGGGAUGCCACAACGAGUGAUAGGCAAAAAAGAAGAAAAACUAAAAUUAUUAAAGGAGUUCCAUGAUAGUUUAUGGGCAGGGCAUAGAGGAAUCUGGGCUACUUUUGCUAAACUCAAGGAACGAUAUUAGUGGAAAAAUAUGUAUCGAGAUGUGCUCUCAUUUGUAGAGUCAUGUGAAAUUUGUCAAUCGUAUUCUAAUAUCCGACAUCGAGAUGGUCUUCAUCCUAUGUAUCCUCUAGCUAUUCAUUUUAAAUGGAUUGUUGGUUUGGUUAUUAUGUCAGUUAGGUUAUGGCAAUUGAGAUAUUUGGUUUUAGCUCGUGAAGAUUUAUCAAAUCAAGUAGAAGGAAGAGCAUUGAGGACAAAAUCUACAGAGGAGAUUUGUAGGUUUUUGCUUAAAGAUGUCAUUUGCCGCUAUGGAUGCAUAGGAAAAAUCAUUGCAGAUCGUGGAGAAUUUAAUGCACAAGAAGCUCGUAAGUUCUUUGAAAGAUGUGGAGUUAAACUAUCACUGACUACUGCUUAUAAUCCGGAAGGGAAUGCAAAAAGCGAACGCGGUUACCCAUCGAUUGUGAAAGCAUUAGUUAAAACUUGUAAUGGGAGGAUUAGAGAGUGGCCACGACUUUUGUCAUUUGCAUUAUGGACUGAUCGAACAACACAUAGUUUGGUGACAGGAUAUAUGCUAGUAGAACUUAUGACAGGUCGAAAACCAAUUAUGCCGAUUGAAGAAAAGGUACUUAUUUGGAGUAUGCUACCAUGGGAAGAUGGAUUGAUAAGAGAAGAACUUCUGGCUAUUAGGAUUCGACAAUUGGAGCAAAGAUCGGAAGAUGUACAAAUAGCAUUGUAAAGGUUAAAAAGAGCAAGGUUACAAAAUAUGGCGCAAUUCGAUAAGCAACAUCGAUUUUGACCUAAAGCAAUCAAGGAAGGUGACUAGGUACUUGUUUAUGACAAUAGUCUGAAUAAUCAAUAUAGUACUUUGCGGAAAUUUUCAAAACAUUGGUUUGGACCAUAUGUAGUAACAACUCUUCAUGAUAAUGCGACUUACUCAUUACAGGAGUUAAAUGAUACAAAAUUGAAAAUACCAAUUGCAGGGAAGCGAGUAAAAAUAUUUAAACGAAGACAUGUGGAGAUGAAUAUGGAAGACCUUAAUGAAGGUAUAGAGAUUCCGUAGCAAGAAGAUGAAAGUGAUUUGGAUAAUGAAGGUGACGAAGAUGAACUGGACAAAGACGUAGAGGAUAUAUUCUGAAUCAAACAGCAAUUGGAUAAAUUGGUACAUACCGGAGGAUGCACAGGUUCAGAGGGGGUGGAUGUCAUGUUGUAACACGAGUAUACAGUGAAAAUAAAAAGAAAAGGGAAUUUUAUUAAUAUUCAGUUACCUCGAAUAUUGGGAGCAAUGACCAAUUCCAGUGCAAAUACUAAGAGGCCAGGUUCACUCACCCCGUUAUAGUUAGCCGGGGCAUAUAAAAAGGCUCCGUUCGAUUCCAAUAACGAGAGUGAGCAGAAAGAGAAAGGACCAAUUCAACGACGGGUGAGCCUGGUUCGAAGAGUCAAUUGGAUCCAAUUUCAAGACAUCCAAUCCAGGUCCUAUUUCGGGCCUCUUACCCAAUAUGAAACCUGACUUGGUCGGGCAACCCAAUGCGGUCCAAUUACGGAAACAUCUAGGUCUUACUACAGGCCUCUUAGCCAAUAUGAGACCUGAAUUGGUCGGGCGACUCAAUGUGGUCCCGAUUACGGGGCUCCGAUUCCGUUUCAAGCUGUUCCGUCCUUUGUGCCGUUCCGAAAAUGUCCUUUCAGUAAAAGGAUCUAUUAAAGGUAAAAAUGGAGGAGAAAGCUCUGACGGUGGAGCCAAUUCCGGAUCCAAGAUGGAAGAUUGAAGAAAUUUAGAGGCUAGGGUUUGAAAGAGGGGAGAAUUAGGGUUAAAGAGGAGGAUAGGUUAAGAAAUGAAGGAGGAAGAAUAAGGAUUUUUUUUUAAGGAUCGGAGAGCUAGCUUCAUGCUUCGAUGUCACGGACAUACAUAUAAUUACCUAUAUGAAUAGAUAAAAGUAUAUAAAAGUAGAUAAAAGUAGGUUAAUUGUAUAAUAUCUUUUAGAGAAGCUUCUUAGAAGCUUCAUAGACGCUGCUUUGACUUUAUAGGAGUCUAUAGUUGACUUUUAGGUUAGAAACUUGGUCAACAAGUUAGCCAUGUGCCACACAUGUUGGAAGCUUAAAGAACAAGCUAACUACGUGGUCCAUCCAUAGAAAACUUGCCUUGCAAGCAAAGGCAUGUGGCCUAGAAAGUCAACAUAUAUUGGAGGUCUUAUAGAACAUCGCCACGUGGCUUCUAGUUAGAUAGUAUAUAUAGAGGCAAGAGUGAAGCCCGCUUCACUCUUGUCAACUCCUUUCUUGCUUCUAGUCUAGUUUCAAGGGUCUCUAGUUUUCUUGUAUUUUGGCAAUAGCCAUUCCAGUUUCUUUCUUAAUAUACAUAUUUCUAUUUUGUCCUAUUUCUUUUUGAGAAAAGUCUCACUUACUCUUUAGCUUUCAUCGAGUUCUUGUCCUUGACAGAUUGACAAGAGUACACUUACAAUAUCAGAGCUUUGUCUUUCCUUGAUUAAGAGUGGAUUACCCCUUUUUCUUGAUAAGACAUAAGCGCAUUAGAAGUUGCGGAUUACCCUCUUUUAAACUGAUAUUGUUCUUAGUAUUUUCUUUGUUAUCAAUUCCUCUCUUCUAUUUUGAGCGUUAUUAGACAUCUUCUCUUUUCUAAGUGCUACUAUGGCAGAGCUUGUUGAAAUGAAGAGUGCAAUGGCACAGAUGCAAGAACAAUUGAGGGAGUUAAUGCUUGCGAUGCAUCAACUCAAUUUACCACCACAAGGAGCAACAAGAAUGGUAGGAAGUGAAGAUAUAGAGAUGAUUGGGGCUGCUUCAACAUCUGCACCAAACCAUGUCCCUUCUCCCAGAAUGGAACACCCUUCGAGUGUUAGAGAACCGAGAGUUGCCUUGCCCGAGAAGUUUGAUGGUACCAGAUCCAAGUUUCGAGGAUUCAUCAAUCAGGUCCAACUAGUGAUUGAACUUCAACCCCAGAGCUAUCCAACUCCAGGGUCACAAGUUAGAUUCAUUGGUACACUUCUUUCAGGUUCAGCAUUGUCAUGGUUUUCAUCUUUUCUUGAACGACGAGAUCCAAUAUUGGAUAAUCUGGAGGCUUUUUUGGCGGAGUUUUGAUCCAUGUUUGGAGAACAUGAUGCAAUUCGUGUUGCAACCAACAAGAUCCGUAUUUUGCGACAAGGCAAUCGAUCAGUAACAUUAUAUGCUUCGCAAUUUCGACAACUUGCAACUGAUAUCAAGUGGGAUGAUGCCGCACUUGUGAGUCAAUUUCUCUACGGAUUACAAUAUGAGGUAAAGAAAUUGAUGCUUAAUUUACCUGAUCCUCAAACAUUGAGUCAAGCAAUUGACUUUGCUGUGAAGUGCGACAAUCGACUUUUUGAAUUUCGAUCCGAGAGUCGCACAAGUGGGCCUCAACGUUACUACAAUUCAAUGGCAACACCGACGUCUCCUCAACACAUACCUUCAGAAGUAGAGGAUAUGCAAAUUGAUGCGGUACGUUUCAAACCUCUUACUGAGCAAGAAAAGUCUCGUCGUCGACAAGAAGGAUUGUGCUUAUAUUGUGGAGAACCUAAGCACACUGUUCAACAUUGUCCAAAGAAGCGACGCAACUACAAAAUGAGGAGUACGGCUGUCAAAGAAGACAGUAUGUCGGAAAACGAGUACGUCCAGCUACAAUAGGGACCGUGCGGCUGGAAUCUUGUACAACUUCUAAUGAAGGUCCUAUCCUCUCCUCAGAACCAUCUCCUUGUUUUAUAAUAGAUGUGCGUUUAGGACCUAAUAAUUACAAAGCCUUUGCCUUGGUAGAUUCAGGAGCCUCAUCUUGUUUUUUAGAUGAAGAAUUUGCUAGAUGUCAUAGAAUAUCAUUAAUACAAAAAACUAAAUCUGUACACGUAGAAGUCAUAGAUGGUCGUCCGUUGUCUUCUGGAGAUGUAACUCACGAAACACUUCCUGUAGAUGUAGUAAUAAAUGGUCAUAGUAGUUGCGUAAUUUUUAAUAUAAUUAGAUCUCCCUCUAAUCCAGUUAUUUUAGGCUUAUCAUGGUUAGAAAAGUAUAAUCCUCGAAUAGAUUGGAUUUCUCGUAAACUUGAUUUUCCUCAGAGCAUUAGUAACAGUUCUAUUAAUCAAGUAAAAAACCAUGAGUCUAGUAUAGUAAAACCCGCACUUAUAGGUGCAAAAGCAUUUAUACACGCAGCAAAAGAAGGAUCAACUUUUGCUAUUUAUGCUGCACCUAUUUCUGAAAGCGUAAAGACUUCAAGUGGCAUUCCAAGUCAAUAUCAGGAUUAUCAAGACGUUUUUGAGAAAAAGAAUGCAGAUAUUCUUCCUGAGCAUCGCCCAUACGAUUGUUCAAUCGAUCUCAAGGAAGGAACUCUGCCACCAUUUGGACCAAUUUACAGUUUAUCGCAAGAUGAGUUGGCUGAACUCAAGACAUAUAAUGACGAGAAUUUAGCAAAGAAUUUCAUACGCCAUUCAAAAUCUCCAGCAGGAGCUCCAAUUUUAUUCGUAAAGAAAAAAGAUGGAUCUUUACGAAUGUGUGUUGACUAUCGAGGACUCAACAAGAUCACAAUCAAGAACAGGUAUCCAUUACCGUUGAUAUCAGGACUCCUUGACCAGUUAAAUCAAGCUAAGAUCUAUACAAAAAUAGAUCUAAGAGGAGCAUAUAAUCUAGUACGGAUCAAUGAAGGAGAUGAAUGGAAGACUGCGUUUCGAACCAGGUACGGGCAUUUUGAAUAUAAUGUCAUGCCUUUUGGACUCACGAAUGCACCAGCUGCUUUUCAACAUCUCAUGAAUGAUGUAUUUCGUGAAUUCUUAGACAAUUUUGUGGUCUGCUACCUAGACGAUAUCCUGAUUUAUUCUAAGAAUGUUGAAGAACAUGAAAUACAUGUUCGUCAAGUAUUACAAAAACUCAGAGAUGCAGGAUUGUAUGCCAAGAUGGAAAAGUGUGUAUUUCACACUACUCAAGUUGACUUUUUAGGAUACAUCAUUUCAAAUGAUGGUCUUAUGAUGGAUUCUAAGAAAGUCCAAACAAUCAUGGAUUGGAAGAUUCCAAAGACUGUAAGAGAUGUCCAAUGUUUCUUGGGAUUUGCCAAUUACUAUCGGAUCUUCAUCAAAGAUUUCUCACGAGUUGCAGCUCCACUUACACGCUUGACUAGUAAAGAUAAAUUCCAAUGGAAUCAAGAAGCGGAAGCAGCAUUUGAAGCCUUGAAGACAUCGUUUGUCUCUGCACCAGUCUUAUAUCGUGUUGACUUUUCCAAGGUAUUUUUUAUGGAAACAGACGCAUCGGAUUUUGCCUUGAGUGCAGUUUUAUCACAAAUGGGAACAGAUGACAAACUUCAUCCGAUAGCUUUUCAUUCAAGAAAAUUCUCAGCAGCCGAGAUCAAUUAUGAGAUCCACGAUAAAGAACUUCUUGCAAUCAUGGAUUCCUUUCAAGAAUGGCGUCAUUAUUUAGAAGGUGCUUCUAGUCCAGUCACUGUGUAUACAGAUCACAAGAACUUCGAGUAUUUCAUGUCAGCACGCGUGUUGAAUCGUCGUCAAGCUCGUUGGAGUAUGUCUUUGUCAAGAUUCGACUUCAUUAUCACUUAUCGAUCAGGAAAACAACAAGGUUUGUCCGAUGCCCUGUCUAGACGUUCUUAUUUUGCACCAAAAGAAGGAGAUGCAGCUUUUGAGCAACAAAGAACGGUCCUCUUGAAACAGGAGCAAUUUCAUCUCCGAGCAGUGAAAUCAACAUUGACUGUUGAUUCAACUUUUCUCAAGCAAAUCCAGUCCAGUAUGUCCUCAGACCCUCUUGUUCAUGAUAUCGAGAAUAAUUCUUCCAAGUCUCAUGAUUCUUCUAAGUUCGAAUUCAAGAAUAAUCUAUUAUAUUUUGAAGGACGCCUAUAUGUUCCAGAAGGAAAAGCACGUUUGCGUUUUCUUCAAGCACGUCAUGACUUUCCAGCAGCAGGGCACUUUGGAUAUAAUAAGACUCUGGAACUCAUAUCAAGAGAUUUUUGGUGGCCACAAAUGUGGAAGUCAGUCAAAGACUUUGUACAAUCAUGUGAUAUUUGUUCAAGAUCAAAAAUUCCUCGACAUCGACCUUACGGACUUCUUCAGCCAUUACCUAUACCAGAACAACCAUGGUCUUCUGUUUCUAUGGAUUUCAUCACAGAUCUUCCAAACUCAAGAUCUUAUGAUUCUAUAUUUGUGAUAGUAGAUCGUUUCACCAAGAUGGCACAUUUUAUGCCAUGUACAAAAUCUAUCAUAGGUGAAGAAACAGCUAAGCUUUUCAUUGAUAAUAUUUAUCGCUAUCAUGGAUUACCUAAAGAUAUCUUAUCGGAUAGGGGAACUCAAUUUGUGUCGAGAUUCUGGAGGACUCUUUUCAAGAUUUUAAAAGUGGACAUAAAGCUAUCUUCAGCUUUCCAUCCUCAAACUGAUGGACAAACAGAGCGCGUAAACCAAGUCUUGGAACAGUAUUUAAGGUGUACCAUCAACUACCAACAAGAUGAUUGGACAAACCUUCUGCCAUUGGCAGAGUUUGCUUAUAAUAAUACGGUACAUUCCUCCACGCAACAAACACCUUUCUUUGCCAAUUAUGGCUAUCAUCCACGACUUGAUACUUUUGAUUUUUCAAAAGUUGAUAAUCCUGCAGCAGAAGAUAUGGCAAAUCGGUUGUCAGAGUUACAUGCAAUAAUGAAGGCGCAGUUGAAGAAAGCUCAAGAACGACAAAAGAUAAAUGCAGAUGUAUAUCGUAAAGAGCAACCACAACUCAACGUGGGUGAUAAGGUAUGGCUACUUCGUCGCAAUAUCAAGACCACUCGACCUUGUGACAAAUUGGACUAUCGUAGGCUUGGCCCGUUUUCUGUUUCUGAAUAGAUCAACCCAGUUGCAUAUCGGUUACAUCUACCGGAGUCAAUGAAGAUCCAUCCUGUAUUCCACGUGUCUCUUCUUGAACCAUAUAAGACAGUGGAUAUACAAGGAAGAAGACAAAUGCCACCGCCUCCUAUAGAAGUAGAUAAUAAUGAAGAAUUUGAGGUGGAAGAGAUAUUAGACUCAAGGCGGCGCCGAAAUAAGCUGGAAUAUCUUGUUCAUUGGUGCGGAUAUGAGAUUAGUGAGCGCACAUGGGAGCCAUCCAGGAAUCUAGCAAAUGCAUCAGCUAAAGUCAAAGUUUUUCAUCAACGACAUCCAUCAAAACUAAGAUGAAAACCUCUCUUAUAAAAGAGACAAGAUUGAGGCAAGAUAACAUUCAAUUUCCUAUCCUUGUUUGUAACUUCUUUGCAUUUUGUGACGUUAAUUAGAUGGAGAGCCAACAACCAGCGGAUUCAACUCAAGAACCUUCGUUUGCUGACUUACCGGAUGAGACAUUGCGAUUGUCACAACCUUCAAGACGACGCAACCGAGAUGAAGACCCUCAAGAACGACAUGUUCUUCCUCGAAUAGAUGGUGAGAUACAACGCGUUUGGUAUCACGACCUUGGAAGAGAUUCUCGAUGUUUGGUGAUAUUAUUGGAGAUAGGAACGACUCCUGAUGGUGUUUCAAAUGUAUUAUUUGAAGGAAGUUAUGAAGGCCUCAACAGUGAUCAAAUAACAGGGUGGUCUUCUCGCCCUGGAAUGGGACACUAUCGAUGGCUAAGAGGACCCAUCAACUAUCUUCGAAGAGAACAAAGAUCAGAGUAUGUAGCAAAUACAAUUCGCCGCAUAUUAGAUUUUCUCAAUAUAUAAUCACCGCUCCUCGUGGAACUCGUCCCUAGAAGGGGGGGUAAUGUCACGGACAUACAUAUAAUUACCUAUAUGAAUAGAUAAAAGUAUGUAAAAGUAGAUAAAAGUAGGUUAAUUAUGUAAUAUCUUCUGGAGAAGCUUCUUAGAAGCUUCAUAGAUGCUGCUUUGACUUUAUAGGAGUCUAUAGUUGACUUUUAGGUUAGAAACUUGGUCAACAAGUUAGCCAUGUGCCACACAUGUUGGAAGCUUAAAGAACAAGCUAACUACGUGGUCCAUCCAUAGAAAACUUGCCUUGCAAGCAAAGGCAUGUGGCCUAGAAAGUCAACAUAUAUUGGAGGUCUUAUAGAACAUCGCCACGUGGCUUCUAGUUAGAUAGUAUAUAUAGAGGCAAGAGUGAAGCCCUCUUCACUCUUGUCAACUCCUUUCUUGCUUCUAGUCUAGUUUCAAGGGUCUCUAGUUUUCUUGUAUUUUGGCAAUAGCCAUUCCAGUUUCUUUCUUAAUAUACAUAUUUCUAUUUUGUCCUAUUUCUUUUUGAGAAAAGUCUCACUUACUCUUUAGCUUUCAUCGAGUUCUUGUCCUUGACAUUCGGGCGGGGAAAAAAGACAGAGAAUUGGGGUUUUUUUUCAUAGGGUUUUGAAAAGACUGAGGCAAUUGUUGCUAAAGUCAGUGUUGUACUAUUGAAUCAGUAUUUUAAUGAAGUGGGUGUGAUUACUCUUGACUAUUUUUGUGAAAUCGAAGUUAUGUCUGUGAUUGAAUAAUUAAAAAGGUGUCUAUAGGAUUGAGUAUGCGGAGUGAAUGAAAUUUAUUGGAUUAAUCUAACAAGACAAUCAGUGGAUAAAGGGUCGUGAAUAUAAAGCGGUAUCGGAGAUUAGCACAUCGGGUUGUUCGAGGUUCUCUGUAACGUCUAGAGACCUACCGGCUGGGACAAAAAAGAUUUUGAAAAGCAAUUGAAGGACAUCUGUAUAGAUUUACGGUAUAUUCUUGUAAUUGUUUGAAUUCCAACAGUCAAAAAUCGAUAGACUACUUGAAUAUUAACGAAUUUCUAUACUACCUUCUAGAGCCAGACGUCCGACGCGUUCUCGAGCAGGAAAGCACGUAAUAUGACAGUGGGUGAUAGCACUGCUCGCAAGCCUUUAAUGGCAGGAUAUUGGUGGUUUACAAUAUUUUUUUAUGCACACCAAUUUGUUUGUCAUUGUGAUCCCUGUCAAUGAAUGGGUCGAACCACGGGCACUUCAGCCAUGCCAUUAGUACCAAUCUUAACACAGGCAUCAUCUAAAAAAUGGGAUAUUGAUUUUGCUAAUUCCAUCACACCAGCGUCAAAACUUAGCUAGAAUCGAUAUAUUUUAGUUGCCAUGGAUUAUGUAACAAAAUAGAUAGAGCCUAUUGCUAUCCGUUGUCUAGGUAGAGAGAAUUUGCCUCAAGAAAACAUUGGACUUGUGGCUGAUAUUAAUCGUUCAAUCAAGCUUUAAAAUAAUAAAAGCCCUAAAUUUAUAUAUAAAUUUUUCUUUUUGAGCAAUUACACCAAAUACACAAGUCUCAAGUAACCAACAACACCCAAAAUAUGAUAAAUCCUUUAAAACCUUAUAUAUUCUUAUGUAGAAAUUGUCUCAAACUUCAAUAGCUCAUAUCUCCUAAUCCGACCGUCCAAAAAAAUUCAAGUUUUCCAUGAAGUACUGAUAUAUUCUUACUAACUUCUACAACAAAUUUCAACUGCAAAUUCAUUGCGGAUCUUGAAAUAUCUUGAAAACCCUAACAGUCGCUUCAAACCCUUGUCUUUAUAUACCUACGUGCAAUUUUCUUUAUAUUUCACAAAAUAUAAGGUCAAAUGCCACGAAAUUUAUAUAUAUAAUUCUUUAUUACAAAAUUUUACAGUUUCCAAAAAGUUUGAGCCAAAAAUUUGUCCGAAAACUCAAGUUAUGGCUCCAACCAUUACUAUAAACAAAACGGCUCACUUACUUUCUUUGAUUUAAAAGUGCCGCCUUCAACUCCUUAUAACUCCUUCACAUGAACUCCAAAAGUAAUAAUUUUUUCAUAAAAAAUGUAAGCUUUAAAAUCGUUGUUCUAUUUGCACCUUUUGAUCUUCAAAAGCUACUAUACAACUCCUCGUAUCCUCAAAAGAAUAACAAUAUUUCUUAAAUUAACACUUUAACUUCAAACGGCUAUAAUUUCUUCACCCUAACUCCAAAUUCUUUAAUUUUUAUACACAAGUUGUACCCCAAAUCUUAAACUUUACAAUUCUUGCUUCUAAUCUCCGAAUGCCUUCUUUGAAGUCGCCAAAACCCUUGUUAAGGUCGUGGGCAGCCUCCUCAAAGUCCAUUGGGUAUGGUAUUCGACCAAUAGGGAUGAAGUUUCCCAUUCCUUGCCUUCAUCUGUCCAUGCCUUACUUUUAUCCCUCCCAAUUAGCCUCCUAUUAGUUUAUGUUUUCAUCCUUAGGUUUUCACCUUCUCCCAAGGCUUCAUACUAAACAUUUAGGUCUUAUGUAUAUUUUUUUAAUGUCAAAAUCAAAACAAGUAAAGAAACAAAGUAAAGUUUCUUAUACCAACUCCUUUUAAUUUAGUCUACUAGCCAUUCUAACACACAUCUAGAUUUAUUAAUAUAUAAUAUGUUUUAACUAAUUUUUACAUAUUGUAAGCAUUUACAAUAUGACACCGCCAUGAUAAUGCCAAUACAAUGGCCAUUUUUCUUUACGAGAAUAUUAUAACUCGAUUUGGGUGCUUAAAAGAAUUAGUUACUGAUCAUGGUAACUAUUUCAUAAAUGCCACCAUAGCCGCCUUGACGAACACAUAUGAGUUUAAGCAUCGAAAAACUACUCCAUAUCAUCCUUAUGCAAAUGGACAAACAAAAAAGAAUAACAGAAAUUUGUGCAAGGUCUUGAUUAAGACAAUUUUGAGGGCAAGUACUAAUUGGGAGACCAAAUUCUUUGCAGCUUUGUGGGAGUAUCUUACUGCAUAUAAAAUAACUACCAAUACUACUCCUUUCCAACUAGUUUAUUUAUAAGAAGUAAUUUUACCUAUCGAGUUCGAGGUUCAAAGUUUAUAGAUUGCCUUGGAUAAAUGUCUUAGUGACAACAAGUCAUUACACUCUUGAUUGAUAAAAUUAGAAGAAUUGGAUGAAAUAUCGGCUACAACUCUUUUUCAACAUGGAAGCAACUCAAAAACGGAGGAAGAAUUACUAUGAUAGUAAACUACAUUUGAAGAUUUUUAUGCCCAAUGAUUUGAUAUUACUGUAUGACAGCCAGUUUACUCAUUUUUCAAACAAAUUUUAAGUUUGCUGGUAUAGGCCGUAUCAAGUGAUUGAAGACUUUUCUAAUGGGUUUCUUCAAUUAGAGGAUUUCAUGGGCCAUCGAUUCAGUAUCCACUAUAACAAGAAUCAAUUAUGGUUAUUGAAUACAUAAAAUUUGGGCCGGGUUUUUAUUUUUUGGGGGGAGGUGACUUCAAAUGGACUCAAGAUAGACCUAGAUAUGGUAUAAGUGCAUUAGGAUGUAGAUGCAGCUAAAGAGAUAGUUAAUAAUUACUAAUGUGUCAAAUGAGACGGAGGUGAGAAACGGACAGUAUGGAUAAUAUGUUGUCAUUAUCACCAGGUAGUAAGAGAAUAGGAGUAGGGCACCAGUUAGAGGUCAUUUUGUGGUGUUGUUUUGGGUUGUUUUUUUUGAGAUUGCCAUUUCUUGUGUUUCUUGUGUAUUCGAGAGUAGUAGUUCCAGUUAAGAGUUUGAGAGAGGGAAUGUCAUGGCAAUUGAAAGUACAAAGCGAGCUAAAAAUAAAGAGGACAGUGGCCGAAAUGUGAGAGCUAAACGUGCGUUAAAACCACCUUCUGUGAUAAUCAUCACUAAUAUGGAGCCAAUGAAGUUAGAUAUCUGUUGGACAUCGAGAAGAAUAAGAGACUUUUGAAAUGUACAGUUGUACUAGUUUUUACACCAGUCAGAUUGUUUACCAUCAAUUAAUGUGUCAUUAUUGGAGGAAUAUAUUACAAAUUACAACCCAAAAGAUAGAUCAAGUAUUGUAUAAGGACGAAUUAUUGGGAUUGAUGGAACAAUCCUGGAAAAGGUGAUAUUUCUCCUCAUUGAAGAGAUUGUAGUAGGGACUGAUGACUCAAGCGGCUUCAGUCCAAGAAGAUAUUUCAAGGGAGGUAUAUCGUCCUUUGAGAGGAGCCAAAGUUGGCAUACUACUGAGGCAAUUUGAUCGGAACUUGUAGAAUGGUUCUAUUUUGUAGUGAGGUAGUUAAAAUUGUAUCGAUAAUCCACAUAUAUGUCCAAAUGGUUAUUGUAUGUAGUGGUAGGGGCACUUGAAGGGAUGGUAUUCAACUAGGCAACAUACGUAGCAACUCAUAUUGAUGCGGUGUUGGAGUAGAGAGAGUUUGUCUCAAGAAAGUGUUAAGCUUCUGGCUUCCACUAAAUACUCAAUCAAGUCUAAAAUAUAAAAAUAUCAAGUUAUAUAUAAUAUAUUUUUUUUUUGGGAAAUUACAUCAAAACAUAAGUCCAAGUACUAAGAAAACACCCAAAUGUAUGAUAAAGAUCUUAAAACCUUAUAUAUCCUUAAAAGAGAUGUUUUCUGAACUUCAACAGCUCAUAUCUCACGAUCGGACCGUCCAAACAAUCCUAAAUUUUAUAUGAAGUAUUGAUAUACUUUCAAAAACUUCUACAAAAAAAUUCAAUUGUAAUUUCGUUACAAAACUUGAGAUAUCAUCAAAACCCUAACAGUAGCUUUAAAUCCUAGCUUAUAUACACUUAUGUGCUAAUUUCUUCAUAUCUCACAAAAUAAGUACUCAAAUACGAUGAAACUUUGAUCUACAGAUUCUUAACUUAAUAAUACACACUUAUAGAAAUUUUGAGCCAAAAAUUCGUCUAGGAACUCAAGAUAUGGCUCCAACCAUUACUAUCAACAAAAUGACUCACUUAUUGCCUUUGAAUUACAUGUACUAUCUUCAAAUGUCUAUAACUCCUUCAUCUAGACUUGUAAUUCAUCAAAUACUAUAUGUAAAAUGUAGCCAAGAAAGUAUCUUCUCCAAUUCCAGUCGCCGAUCUUUCAUUGCUCUUUGUACGCAUAUGUUAUGCUUCAAAGAGUGACAGUAGGUACAAAUUUGACACCUUAACUUUGAACACCUAUAUCUCCUUUACAAAAACUCGAAAUUAUACAAAUUCUUCACCCAAAUUAUAUUCAAAAUCCUGAAAUUGCUGACCCUAGCCUCCAAAGUUCGAAUGAAUUCGAAAGAGAAACCCUAAUCCCUAAUAAGGCCUUGGAACAGCCUCCUUGAAGUCCAUUGGACAUGGCCUUCGACCAAUAGGAAUGAAGUUUCCCAUUCUUUGCCUUCAUCCGACCAUGCCUUGCUUUCAUUCCUUCCAAUAAGCCUCCUAUUAGUUAAGAUUUUCUUCUUUAGGCCCCAACCUUCUCUUAAGCUUUAUACUAAAUAUCUAAAUCCUACAUAAUAUAAACACUAUAAUCAAAAUAGAUAAAUCUCCAAAUAAAUUUUCUUAAAUCAAUUUUCUUUAAAUUUAUUUAAUAACCAUUCUAAUCUACAUCAAAACUUACAAACAUAUUAUAUGUCUUAAUUAAUUUUUACAUACUAUAAGCAAUUACAAUACAACAGCGGAGAUAGGAGCUAAGUGUAAAUUGAAAAAGUUCACAUAUUUGCUUUGUUCCAAUUAUGUGUAUGCUACGAUUGCGCACACAUUGUGUCAAAUACCACCAAUAGAGGAAAGUCUUGUGUUUAUAUGAACACUAUGAUUGCGCACACCAGUGCUAGUGCCUUCCCAGAGAGAACAAAAUUUAUUAGUAGAGAAUAUCAAUAUUGUGGAUGUAAUACACAAAAUUGGGGAGUCAAGUUGUACAAUGGCUUAAGGAGUGGUUCUAGUUAUUGAAUCAAAACAAAUUCCAAUUUGUUUUACAGUGGAGGAGGAGAAUGAAACUCUAAUUUUGAUGGAUAUUAAUCAGUUGAUGUUUCUACAAGGACGAUUGUCUAAAAGAAUACUUUUAAGAAUGCUUUAUUGAAGCACAUUUCACAAAUAUAUUAUAUGGUGUGAGCAUUAGAUAUAGACGGCAGUAGAAAACGAGAUUUAGAGAACAACAAGAAGAUGAUAUCAGAGCAAAACCAAAGAAUUGAAGAGUAAGAAUGGACUAUAAAAGAAAUUAGAGAAUCUAAGCUUGUAUUGGAGCAAAAAUUGGUUCACCAAUAUAAGUCUUGGAUGAAAGAAAAAGAACACUUCUUACGAAUUGUAGAAGGACAAUGAGAUGAAUUGAUCUAGAAUCACAAGACAUGGAAUUUGGAAUAGGAGAAAUUCAAAUGCCAGUUGUAAGCAGAAAGGGAGAAGGCAAAGUUAUUGACAAAAGAGAAAGCGACAUUGAAUGAUCAAUUCAAAUCCAAAAUAGAGAAGUUGAGGUCCAAAAUCGAAGUUUUACAUGCUGAGGUGGCAAAAUUGAUAGAAGAGUUAACCGUGAGGAGCUAGUCACAAGCAUCAAUUGAAGAUGUUUCAAAAUAGAUGAGUCAAUAGCAACAUCAAUUGAAACUCUAUGAUGCCGAGAUCUUGAAACUGGAGGCUCAAGUCCAUGAAUUGGGAAAAUAUAAUGAAGAUCUCUCAAACCAGUUGAAGAAGGAAUCAAUGGAUGGAUUGGAGGAGGAGGAAGAUUUUAAUUUAGAACCAGAAUCGAUAGAAUCCACAUUAGAUAAUAUAGCAAAUGAUUAAUUGGAUAGGUUAGAGGAAAUAGUAAUUUUGUAGAGUUUUGUUUAGUUUUUAGAUAGGUAACAAUUGUGUAUUUGUGAGGACGCUGCAUAGAUAGGAGUGGAGCUAUGUAAAAUAGAUAUUAGUUUGUUUCUGUAAGAUAUUGGUAAAAUAGACUAAUAGUCCGUAGAAUAGUCAAUUCAAGAAGAUGGAUGAUUAACUUAGUUAUUAAAAGUAAUUAAUUACAAGAUUACGGUUAAAAUCUGGGAAUAGGGAGUAAGUAUAUAGGAGUUGUAGAAGUUAGUCUGAGUGCCAGACUGUGAUAGUCAUGAGUCGAGGUAAGCUUGGUACUACCUCCUUGUUUCUUUAUUUCUUUGUUGUUGAAAAGUAAUGGAUAGUUUUUGAAUACUAAAAAGUAAGUUUAUAGAAUAAAUCAGAGAUUGAUUUAUGAGUUAUUGAUUAUGUAAUUACAGCAUUAAGUGAUUGAAUUAUAUGAGGAGUUAUUUAAAGAUUAUGAUUGUUGUUUAUUGAAAUUUGUGUGUGUUUCAACAGAGGAAGUUUGUGAUUAUAAAAAUUAUGUGAAUUCAGAUUGGUUGGAAUGAAGUCUGUUAUUUUUGGUAUUGGAUGGAAAUCAUUGUAUUUUGAGAGGUCUUUUCAAAGUACAGGGUUGCAUACUGUUGUUAUUAGUUGAUGAAGGAAUAUUGUUACUAGGAGAAAGCAUUGUAGUAUUUCUUAGUAUUUUAGUAGUUCGGAAUACGAUUCAUUGUGUGAUCCUAAUAAGUAAAACUCAUGCACUUAGUCUUUCCAUGUGUUUGAAUUCUCCUAUACAAGUUUAUUCUGAAAAAAAUUAUAAAAUAAGUAAAACAAUAAUGACAACUGUCUUAAGAAUGAAGAGCAAACCACAAAAUUGGACAUCAUCAUCUAACAGCUAUCAAAAAGAAGGAAGCAAAUUCACUCCUUGUGGAAAUUUUAGGUGGUUGAUAUAGUGAAUAAAGAAGUCAGUCUGUGGAUUCUUCGUCGUCAUGGUGUAGGUGGUUCUUCAUCUCGGGGUCGCCUUCGUGAGCUAGUUGGUUGAGAUAAUCUGAUUGGUAUAGUAUCUAUCUCUUGGCUAUCCAUAUCAGAAGACCAAACUAUGGCUACUGAAAAAAUUCUAUUUUAUCUUGGAAAAAAUAACUACAUCAACUACGAAUUUUGGUGGUGCUCUUUUCCUUUCUUAUAUUCUUAGGUGAGCAAGCUUCAGAAGGAAGCUAUCGUUGAACCGGCUUAGGUUUAUGAGGAUGUUGUUGAUGAAACUCUUGUACCUUUUGCAGCGCAUUGGCAAGAUUUUCAGCUGGCUCCUACAUUUGCUCAUUAAUGUCGUAGCCGCACCAAUAAACAAGAUACUCCAACUUCCCCACCUUUGCCGUGAAUCCAGUAUCUUUUUAACCUCGUAUUCCUCAUGGUUCUCGAUUUCAAUACUAGGAGGCGGACAUUGUACUCUUCCAGGAAAAGAUGACUCUCGAUAAGGCUCUAACAGAGAAACAUGAAAGACUGGAUGUACCUUCAUAGAAGCCAAUAACUCUAGACGAUAUGCCACUGGAUUGAUUUGCUUCUGGAUGAUAAAUGGUCCCAAUCUUCGAUAGUCCAACUUAUCACAUAGUCGCUUGGUCUUGAUAUUUCGUCGAAGAAGCCAUGCUUUAUCUCUAAUUUUGAAAGUAGGUGCUUGAUUCCGAAAUCUAUCUGCAGACACCUUGUAGGAUUCUUGAGUGGAUUGUAAUUGAAAAUUCAACGUAUUUUGAAGCUCUGAUAGUUGUUUCACAAAUCCUUCAACUACUGGAUUGUUAUUUGUUGACGGACUCAAUAAAUCAAGCUUCGGAUGAUAUCCAUAGUUGAAAAAAAAUAGUGUGUAUUGAGUCGACGUAUGGAGGGUGUUGUUAUAUGCAAACUCGACUAACGACAGAUAUGUGGUCCAAUCGUCUUGCUGAUAGUUGAUGCUGCAUCGUAAGUAUUGUUCCAAGACUUGGUUCACCCGUUCCGUUUGACCAUCAAUUUGAGGAUGAAAAGCCAAAGAAAGCUUGAUAUCCACCUUCAGUAUCUCAAAGAGAGGUCUCCAAAACUUUGAUACAAACAGGAUUCCUUGAUCUGAUAUGAUAUCAUCUGGUAGUCCAUGAUAUCGAUACACAUUAUUGAGAAAGAGCCUUGCUAUGACUUCAUUGGACGAUGUCUUCUUGCAAAGAACAAAGUGCGCCAUCUUUGUAAGCCGAUUUAUCACGACAAAGAUGCUGUCAAAUGAAUUCGAUGAUGGAAGGUCCGUAAUAAAGUCCAUGGAAACUGAAGACCAUGGUCGACGUGGAAUCAGCAAUGGCUGUAGGAGUCCAUAAGGGCGAUGUCGAGGAUUCUUGGAUCUUGAAUAGAUGUUGCAGGAGAGGACAAAAUCUUUCACAUCCUUCUACAUUUGGGGCCACCAAAAAUCUUGAGAAAUAAGCUCCAAGGUCUUGUUGAAUCCAAAAUAUCCCGAAGCUGGAAAAUCGUGGCGAGAUUAAAGAACUCAGAGUCGUAUUGGUCCUUUUGGAAUAUUUAACCGCUCCUCAAAGUAUAAAAGAUCUCCCUCCACCUUAAAUUUGUCAUCAUUUGCACGCUGCUUAAUAUCAAUGGCUACUCAAUCUUCAAUGGUCACGGCACGUACCUGAUUCAAGAAGUCAGCAUCAAUUGACACAAUAGUAGCGUAAAACUGAAAUUGCUCUGGCUUCAACAAUGUCGUACAUUGUUGAUCAAACGCUGCUUCUCCAACCUUUGGUACAAGAUACGAUCUCCUCGAUAAGGCAUCAGAUAGUCCUUACUGCUUUCCAGGUCGAUAGUGAUAACAAAAUCGAAUCUAGAUAGUAACAUACUCUACCGAGCUUGACGUCAAUUUAAAACUCGAGCCGACAUGAAAUACUCCAAAUUCUUGUGAUCUGUGUAUACGGUCAUUGGGUAUGCAGCUCCUUCAAAAAAGUGAUGCCAUUCUUGGAAAGAAUCCACUAUAGCAAGAAGUUCCUUAUCAUGGAUCUCAUAAUUGAUUUCAGCAGCAAAGAACUUUCAAGAAUAGAAUGCAACCAGAUGGAGCUUCUUGUCUUCUCUCAUUUGUGAAAGUACAGCUCCCAAAGCAAAAUCCGAAGCAUCAAUUUCUAAAUAAAAGGCCUUUGUAAAAUCUGGAUGUACUAAAAUUGGAGCCGUAGUAAAUACAAUUUUUAGAUCUUGAAAUACCUUCUCCGCUAGAGGUCCCCAUUCUAGCUUAUCCUUGCAUGUCAACCAAGUGACAGGAGCAGCAAUUUGAGAGUAAUUCUUGAUGAAGAUCCGAUAGAAGUUGGCAAAGCCAAGAAAGCAUUGUACAUCUCUCACCGUCUUCGGAACCUCCCAAGACACGAUUGCUUCCACCUUCUUGGGGUCCAUCUUCAAGCCUUCCGUUGUCAUGUUAUAACACGAGUAUACCAUGAAAAUAUAAAGUAAGGGGAUUUUUAUUAAUAUUCAUUUACCUCGAAUAUUCGGAGUAACGAGCAACUCCAGUGCAAAUACUGAGAGGCCAGGUUCAGUCACCCAGUUACAGUCAGCCGGGGCAUACUGAAAUGCUCCGUUCGAUUCCAGUAACGGGAGUCAGCAAAAAGAGAAAGGACCAAUUCAAUACGACGGGUGAGCCUGGUUCGAAGAGCCAAUUGGAUCCAAUUUCAAGACAUCUAAUCCAGGUCCUCUUAUCCAAUAUGAGACCUGAAUUGGUCGGGCAACCCAAUGUAGUCUAAUUAUGGAAAAAUCCAGGUCUUACUAUGGGCCUCAACCAAUCUAACGUGAAGGACCAAUUUGAUCCAAUUACGGGAACAUCCGGAUCUUACUACUAGACUCUUACCCAAUAUGAGACCUGAAUUGGUCGGGCGACUCAAUGUGGUCCUGAUUACGGGGCUCCGAUUCUGUUUCUGGCUGUUCCGUCCUUUGUGCCGUUUCGGGAACGUCCUUUUGGUGAAAGGAUCUCUUAAAGGUAAAAAUGGAGGAGAAAGCUCUGACAGCGAGAGUCAAUUUUGGAUCCAAGCUCUGAAGGCGGGAGCCAAUUUCGGAUCUAAGAUGGAAGAUUGAAGAAAUUCAGAAUUAAAGUUAAGAAAUAGGGAGGAGAGAGAAUAAUUUUUAGGGGGGUUUUGAAGGAUCGAGAGAGAUAGUUUCAUGCUUCGGGCGGGGAAAGAAGACAGAGAAUUGGGUUUUAUUUUCUUCAUAGGAUUUUGCAAAGAGUGAGGCAAUCAUUGCUGAAGUCAGUGUUGUAAUGGUGAAUCGGGAUUUUUAAUGAAGUGGGUUUGAUUACUCUUGACUGUUUUUGUGAAAUCGAGUUACGUUUGUGAUGAAGAAUUAAAAAGAUGUCUAUAGGAUUGAGUAUGCAGAGUGAAUAAAAUUUAUUGGGUUAAUCUAACAAGACAAUCAGUAGAUGAAUGGUCGUGAGUAUAAAGCGGUAUCGGAGAUUAGCAGAUCGGGUUGUUCGGGGUUCUCUGUAAUGUCUAGAGACCUACCGGCUGGGACAAAAAAGAUUUCGGCGAGCAGUCGAAGGACAUCCAUAUAGAUUUAUGGUAUAUUCUUGCAAUCAUUUGAAUUCCAACAAUCA
Molecule: long non-coding RNA, 24878 nt
Filed under: Physcomitrium patens
Lineage: Eukaryota; Viridiplantae; Streptophyta; Bryopsida; Funariales; Funariaceae
Description: long non-coding RNA (PPAT_LNC012352)
Source: RNAcentral